Molecule: ribosomal RNA, 253 nt
Filed under: uncultured bacterium
Lineage: Bacteria
Description: partial 16S ribosomal RNA
Rfam family: Bacterial small subunit ribosomal RNA
Source: RNAcentral
GACAGAGGGUGUAAACGUUGUUCGGAAUUACUGGGCGUAAAGGGCGCGUAGGCGGCUCGACAAGUCCCGCGUGAAAGCCCCCGGCUCAACUGGGGAACUGCGCGGGAAACUGUCGGACUUGAGUUCGGGAGAGGGAAGCGGAAUUCCGGGUGUAGCGGUGAAAUGCGUAGAUAUCCGGAGGAACACCGGUGGCGAAGGCGGCUUCCUGGACCGACACUGACGCUGAGGCGCGAAAGCUAGGGGAGCAAACGGG